AUUGAACGCUGGCGGCAGGCCUAACACAUGCAAGUCGAACGAGUGGCGGACGGGUGAGUAAUGUCUGGGAAACUGCCUGAUGGAGGGGGAUAACUACUGGAAACGGUAGCUAAUACCGCAUACCAUCGGAUGUGCCCAGAUGGGAUUAGCUAGUAGGUGGGGUAACGGCUCACCUAGGGGACGAUCCCUAGCUGGUCUGAGAGGAUGACCAGCCCAACUGGAACUUAGAAACGGUCCAGACUCCUACGGGGGGGAGCAUGGGGGAAUAUUGCACAAUUGGCGCAAGCCUGAUGCAGCCAUGCCGCGUGUAUGAAGAAGGCCUUCGGGGUGUAAAGGACUUUCAGCGGGGAGGCGUUACCCGCAGAAGAAGCACCGGCUAACUCCGUGCCAGCAGCCGCGGUAAUUC
This 406-nucleotide ribosomal RNA is filed under the name uncultured bacterium. RNAcentral describes it as "partial 16S ribosomal RNA". It matches the Rfam family "Bacterial small subunit ribosomal RNA", at positions 30 to 526 of the family's 1533-position model. The record is from RNAcentral.